GGCCGCCUGGUGUAGUUGGUUAUCACGCAUCCUUCACACGGUUUAAACAUCGUUUGAGCGGCGGAUGAGGUCAUGAGUUCGAACCUCAUGGUGGUCA
Ceratobasidium sp. 392 is the source of this 97-nucleotide non-coding RNA. The record is from the annotation of a GenBank genome assembly. Lineage: Eukaryota; Fungi; Basidiomycota; Agaricomycetes; Cantharellales; Ceratobasidiaceae.